This 209-nucleotide ribosomal RNA is filed under the name Escherichia coli. RNAcentral describes it as "partial 23S ribosomal RNA". It matches the Rfam family "Bacterial large subunit ribosomal RNA", at positions 1669 to 1860 of the family's 2925-position model. Lineage: Bacteria; Pseudomonadati; Pseudomonadota; Gammaproteobacteria; Enterobacterales; Enterobacteriaceae. The record is from RNAcentral.
AGGUAGAGAAUACCAAGGCGCUUGAGAGAACUCGGGUGAAGGAACUAGGCAAAAUGGUGCCGUAACUUCGGGAGAAGGCACGCUGAUAUGUAGGUGAAGCGACUUGCUCGUGGAGCUGAAAUCAGUCGAAGAUACCAGCUGGCUGCAACUGUUUAUUAAAAACACAGCACUGUGCAAACACGAAAGUGGACGUAUACGGUGUGACGCCU